Molecule: ribosomal RNA, 440 nt
Filed under: uncultured bacterium
Lineage: Bacteria
Description: partial 16S ribosomal RNA
Rfam family: Bacterial small subunit ribosomal RNA
Source: RNAcentral
CCUACGGGGUGCUGCAGUGGGGAAUAUUGCACAAUGGGGGAAACCCUGAUGCAGCGACGCCGCGUGAGUGAUGAAGUAUUUCGGUAUGUAAAGCUCUAUUAGCAGGGAAGAAAAUGACGGUACCUGACUAAGAAGCCCCGGCUAACUACGUGCCAGCAGCCGCGGUAAUACGUAGGGGGCAAGCGUUAUCCGGAUUUACUGGGUGUAAAGGGAGCGUAGACGGCAGCACAAGUCUGGAGUGAAAUGCCGGGGCUUAACCCCGGAACUGCUUUGGAAACUGUGCAGCUAGAGUGCAGGAGAGGUAAGUGGAAUUCCUAGUGUAGCGGUGAAAUGCGUAGAUAUUAGGAGGAACACCAGUGGCGAAGGCGGCUUACUGGACUGUAACUGACGUUGAGGCUCGAAAGCGUGGGGAGCAAACAGGAUUAGAUACCCGAGUAGUC